CCUACGGGAGGCAGCAGUGGGGAAUAUUGGGCAAUGGGCGAAAGCCUGACCCAGCAACGCCGCGUGAAGGAAGAAGGCUCUCGGGUUGUUAACCUCUUUUGACAGGGAAGUGAAGAAGACGGUACCUGCCUAUUAAGCUACGGCUAACUACGUGCCAGCAGCUGCGGUAAUACGGAGGUGCCCAGUGUUGUCCGGAUUCACUGGGUGUAACGGGCGUGUAGCCGGGCUGAGAAGUCUGAUGUGAAAGCCGGGGGCUCAACCACCGAACUGCAUUUGAAACUGUUGGUCUUGAGUAUCGGAGAGGCAGGCGGAAUUCCUGGUGUAGCGGUGAAAUGCGUAGAUAUUAGGAGGAACACCGGUGGCGAAGGCAGCCUGCUGGACGGCAACUGACGGUGAGGCGCGAAAGCGUGGGGAGCAAACAGGAUUAGAUACCCGAGUAGUC
RNAcentral lists this ribosomal RNA (442 nucleotides) under uncultured bacterium. RNAcentral describes it as "partial 16S ribosomal RNA". It matches the Rfam family "Bacterial small subunit ribosomal RNA", at positions 338 to 795 of the family's 1533-position model. The record is from RNAcentral.